AAAACUACUCGGCCCAGUACUCUAUCCAAACUCCCAUUGUCGAACAGCCAAAAUCCCCUUGAAAAUACACCCAAAAUCAUCUCUUUUCUUAGAUCUCAAUAGCAAUCCCAAGAACCCAAAUCCUUGUUCCCGGAUCUCACCAAUAUUACAUCAAAUGUUGAUGCUUACAUGCUAUCUCUUUAGAAAAGUUUCUCUGUUUUAUUUAUCUUAGGUGGCUUGUUUUCUUGAUCACAUACUUAAACAAGG
Molecule: long non-coding RNA, 246 nt
Filed under: Nicotiana benthamiana
Lineage: Eukaryota; Viridiplantae; Streptophyta; Magnoliopsida; Solanales; Solanaceae
Description: long non-coding RNA (NBEN_LNC038168)
Source: RNAcentral